AUUAUUUUGGCAGAUUAGUGCUAUAAAUUUAGAAUUUAAAUAAGUAUAAUUUUAUACAAAUAAUA
Molecule: transfer RNA, 65 nt
Filed under: Venturia canescens
Lineage: Eukaryota; Metazoa; Arthropoda; Insecta; Hymenoptera; Ichneumonidae
Description: tRNA-Leu
Source: RNAcentral